AUACGUAGGGGGCAAGCGUUAUCCGGAUUUACUGGGUGUAAAGGGAGCGUAGGCGGCAAGGCAAGUCUGAUGUGAAAACCCGGGGCUCAACCCCGGGAUUGCAUUUGAAACUACCAAACUAGAGUGCAGGAGAGGUAAGUGGAAUUCCUAGUGUAGCGGUGAAAUGCGUAGAUAUUAGGAGGAACACCAGUGGCGAAGGCGGCUUACUGGACUGUAACUGACGCUGAGGCUCGAAAGCGUGGGGAGC
This 247-nucleotide ribosomal RNA is filed under the name uncultured bacterium. RNAcentral's name for it is "partial 16S ribosomal RNA". It matches the Rfam family "Bacterial small subunit ribosomal RNA", at positions 523 to 769 of the family's 1533-position model. The record is from RNAcentral.